GACGACGCUGGCGGCGUGCUUAACACAUGCAAGUCGAACGGUGACGGAGAGCUUGCUCUCCUGAUCAGUGGCGAACGGGUGAGUAACACGUGGGCAAUCUGCCCCAGACUUCGGGAUAACGCUUCGAAAGAGGUGCUAAUACCGAAUACGAACGCCGUGGGCAUCCACGGUGUUGGAAAGUUUUUCGGUCUGGGAUGGGCCCGCGGCCUAUCAGCUUGUUGGUGAGGUAAUGGCUCACCAAGGCGACGACGGGUAGCCGGCCUGAGAGGGCGACCGGCCACACUGGGACUGAGACACGGCCCAGACUCCUACGGGAGGCAGCAGCUAAAGAAUAUUCCGCAAUGGACGAAAGUCUGACGGAGCGACGCCGCGUGGAUGAAGAAGGCCGAAAGGUUGUAAAGUUCUUUUGCUAGGGGAGAAUAAGUGAGGGAGGGAAUGCCCUCAUGAUGACAAGGACUAGCGAAUAAGCCCCGGCCAACUACGUG
This 485-nucleotide ribosomal RNA is filed under the name uncultured bacterium. Its description in RNAcentral is "bacterial SSU rRNA". It matches the Rfam family "Bacterial small subunit ribosomal RNA", at positions 33 to 507 of the family's 1533-position model. The record is from RNAcentral.